UACGUAGGGUGCAAGCGUUAAUCGGAAUUACUGGGCGUAAAGCGUGCGCAGGCGGUGAUGUAAGACAGAUGUGAAAUCCCCGGGCUCAACCUGGGAACUGCAUUUGUGACUGCAUCGCUGGAGUGCGGCAGAGGGGGAUGGAAUUCCGCGUGUAGCAGUGAAAUGCGUAGAUAUGUGGAGGAACACCGAUGGCGAAGGCAGCCUCCUGGGCCAGCACUGACGCUCAUGCACGAAAGCGUGGGGAGCAAACAGG
Molecule: ribosomal RNA, 253 nt
Filed under: uncultured bacterium
Lineage: Bacteria
Description: partial 16S ribosomal RNA
Rfam family: Bacterial small subunit ribosomal RNA
Source: RNAcentral